UGGGGAAUUUUGGACAAUGGGCGAAAGCCUGAUCCAGCCAUGCCGCGUGAGUGAAGAAGGCCUUCGGGUUGUAAAGCUCUUUUAGUCGGAAAGAAAGAGUUGCAAUGAAUAAUUGUGAUUUAUGACGGUACCGACAGAAAAAGCACCGGCUAACUACGUGCCAGCAGCCGCGGUAAUACGUAGGGUGCGAGCGUUAAUCGGAAUUACUGGGCGUAAAGGGUGCGCAGGCGGUCUUGCAAGUCAGAUGUGAAAGCCCCGGGCUUACCUGGGAAUUGCGUUUGAAACUACAAGACUAGAGUGCAGCAGAGGGGAGUGGAAUUCCAUGUGUAGCAGUGAAAUGCGUAGAGAUGUGGAAGAACACCGAUGGCGAAGGCAGCUCCCUGGGUUGACACUGACGCUCAUGCACGAAAGCGUGGGGAGCAAACA
This 426-nucleotide ribosomal RNA is filed under the name uncultured beta proteobacterium. RNAcentral describes it as "bacterial SSU rRNA". It matches the Rfam family "Bacterial small subunit ribosomal RNA", at positions 355 to 774 of the family's 1533-position model. The record is from RNAcentral. Lineage: Bacteria; Pseudomonadati; Pseudomonadota; Betaproteobacteria.